GAUCGGAGUGCUUGCACUCUGUGAAACAAGAUACAGGCUAGCGGCGGACGGGUGAGUAACACGUGGGUAACCUGCCCAAGAGAUCGGGAUAACACCUGGAAACAGAUGCUAAUACCGGAUAACAACAGAUGAUGCCUAUCAACUGUUUAAAAGAUGGUUCUGCUAUCACUCUUGGAUGGACCUGCGGUGCAUUAGCUAGUUGGUAGGGUAACGGCCUACCAAGGCGAUGAUGCAUAGCCGAGUUGAGAGACUGAUCGGCCACAUUGGGACUGAGACACGGCCCAAACUCCUACGGGAGGCAGCAGUAGGGAAUCUUCCACAAUGGACGCAAGUCUGAUGGAGCAACGCCGCGUGAGUGAAGAAGGGUUUCGGCUCGUAAAGCUCUGUUGUUGGUGAAGAAGGACAGGGGUAGUAACUGACCUUUGUUAGACGGUAAUCAAUUAGAAAGUCACGGCUAACUACGUGCCAGCAGCCGCGGUAAUACGUAGGUGGCAAGCGUUGUCCGGAUUUAUUGGGCGUAAAGCGAGUGCAGGCGGCUCGAUAAGUCUGAUGUGAAAGCCUUCGGCUCAACCGGAGAAUUGCAUCAGAAACUGUCGAGCUUGAGUACAGAAGAGGAGAGUGGAACUCCAUGUGUAGCGGUGAAGUGCGUAGAUAUAUGGAAGAACACCGGUGGCGAAGGCGGCUCUCUGGUCUGUUACUGACGCUGA
This 707-nucleotide ribosomal RNA is filed under the name uncultured bacterium. Its description in RNAcentral is "bacterial SSU rRNA". It matches the Rfam family "Bacterial small subunit ribosomal RNA", at positions 69 to 749 of the family's 1533-position model. The record is from RNAcentral.